RNAcentral lists this long non-coding RNA (366 nucleotides) under Olea europaea (common olive). Its description in RNAcentral is "long non-coding RNA (OEUR_LNC010444)". The record is from RNAcentral. Lineage: Eukaryota; Viridiplantae; Streptophyta; Magnoliopsida; Lamiales; Oleaceae.
UUGUAUACAAUAUUUAGCCUAGCCAAAUUCUUCUCAUGCCCUUCAUAAUCGAUCCAUCUCAGAAUUGGAAGAAAAUCUCCUGGAUUUGAAUUGACACUAAGUGAGAACGCUUCAUCAAUAAGUUCGCGAAAAUGCUUUGCCUCCUUACUUUCCUCACUUUCUCCAAAGUAUCGCUUCCUAACCUCCAUUCUCAUUAUAAUAUUAAAGGAAAGCUCUAAAAAUAGAGAUUAAGUUCAACAUUUGCAAACUCACUUUGUGAAUUUUCAUAGAACUUUUGCAGCAGAAGCUUGAUUUCAUUUUGUUGUAUGGACAGGAAUAUGUUGAGCGACUCGAAGAAAAUAUUUCAACUGUAGUGAAGCACCGAAG